UCAGGCCUAACACAUGCAAGUCGAACGGGAAGGGUAGCAAUACCCCGAGAGUGGCGCACGGGUGAGUAACGCGUAUGCAACCUGCCUUUAACUGAGGGAUAGCCCAUAGAAAUGUGGAUUAAUACCUCAUAGUUCUAUUGAAUCGCAUGGUUUGAUAGAUAAAGCUCCGGCGGUUAAAGAUGGGCAUGCGUGACAUUAGCUAGUUGGUGAGGUAACGGCUCACCAAGGCAACGAUGUCUAGGGGUUCUGAGAGGAUGAUCCCCCACACUGGUAC
RNAcentral lists this ribosomal RNA (274 nucleotides) under uncultured bacterium. Its description in RNAcentral is "partial 16S ribosomal RNA". It matches the Rfam family "Bacterial small subunit ribosomal RNA", at positions 43 to 319 of the family's 1533-position model. The record is from RNAcentral.